RNAcentral lists this unclassified non-coding RNA (730 nucleotides) under Hevea brasiliensis (rubber tree). The record is from RNAcentral. Lineage: Eukaryota; Viridiplantae; Streptophyta; Magnoliopsida; Malpighiales; Euphorbiaceae.
AACCUUCAAGGGAGUUUCAAAAUGAGACAGCAACUAAGAAUUGCUCAAAACGGGCAUCCUCAAAAUUUUUCCAACGUUGGAGGGGUAAAAAAAAAAAAGCUAAAUCCAGACCUCAAACCUUUAAGAGUGCUACUAAAAGUAACCAGAAACUGAAACAGAGAUUCGAAAUCCAUAAAUUGCUCAAUCCCAGCAAAAGAAUGCUGUUAGAACCAAAACUAGCAAUUGUAUUCACUGAAAAGGAAAAGAUCUGAAACUUCAAAUUGCUAUAAUCACUUUUGAUGCUUCACAAUUCAAGUCACAGUCUACAAUCACAGUAAUAAGUUCCCAAAAUGCUCUAACACAUUCAAAAUUUCAACAAUACUUUUUAACUGAAACAAGUUUCCACAAAAUUUUCCUAAAGGUAACAGGGUAUCAAACUAUCAAAAAACAAAAACCCACAGAAUAUCCAGAGAAAACCAUACCCGUUCGAGAGCGGAAAGGUUUACCAGCGGCAGAACACCUCUGAAUCACAAAGCAAAUGGCUACACUAGAAACCUCGAGGCGAGGCUGAUAGUGGAAGCCAGAACAGCAACCUUUGGCAGACGCACCGCUGCACACCAGCAUGUGGGGAGAUGGUAGAAGACUGAUCUGGUGCGUGUAGGCUACUCCCUUGAAAUCCGGUGGCCAGAUUUUCAAGACAGGCCGGUCUGUGGCUUGAGAUUCUCAGGGGAUGGCGGUGAGACAAAAAUAU